Molecule: long non-coding RNA, 309 nt
Organism: Diabrotica virgifera virgifera (western corn rootworm)
Lineage: Eukaryota; Metazoa; Arthropoda; Insecta; Coleoptera; Chrysomelidae
Exons: 2
Source: RefSeq, a predicted model, not a curated record
UCUAUAUCAUUGAAGAUCCCUAGGAAGAUCAAAUUCCUAGCUUACAUUUGCAUGGUGAGUUCAACAAGUACUUGUUAUUAGAGGACAAGUAACACUAACACAGUUAGUGGUGUAGGGAAGCAAACGAAUGUAACACCAAUUGAAAGUCCUUCAACAAGUAGAGAUGCACACAUGUUUCAAUCAUUUGAGAUACCCUUUUGUAGAAGUAUUUGGAAGAUAACUAUUAAUAAUUUCAUUUGUAAAGAUACGAUUUGUAAAAAAGUAUAUACAAAGUGGUUUUGCUGGUAUUAAAUAAAUAAAUAAAAAUAC